Non-coding RNA from Paramuricea clavata, 311 nucleotides. NCBI's taxonomy places the organism in Eukaryota, Metazoa, Cnidaria, Anthozoa, Malacalcyonacea, Plexauridae. The record is from the annotation of a GenBank genome assembly.
UUAAUCCUAUCAAUAGGGUAAACCCUUUUUUAGUACUUUGUAAUGACUACAGUAUAAUGUCAUGAUUUACUUCACAGUUCACAAAAGAAAAGUCUGUUGCGGAUAAAGGGUUAAUCGUUUUUUAGUAAAAUCUUUUUUAAUAAUUCAAUAUAUUCGUAAAUUUGAAACCAAUGUUUCGGCAUGGCAAAUAGAUUCCUUGUAAUGCCCCGUUGCAUUGUACAUGAGAGAGUACCUGUGGAAUUCAAAAUUUUGUACAGGUUUUCCAAAUAAUUUAAAAUGUAUUUUUGUCCUGGUACGACAAACUCGUAUAU